This 391-nucleotide unclassified non-coding RNA is filed under the name soil metagenome. RNAcentral's name for it is "partial contains 5.8S ribosomal RNA, internal transcribed spacer 2, and large subunit ribosomal RNA". The stretch from base 1 to 122 matches the Rfam family "5.8S ribosomal RNA", at positions 35 to 154 of the family's 154-position model. The record is from RNAcentral.
GAUGAAGAACGUAGCGAAAUGCGAUACUUGGUGUGAAUUGGAGAAUCCCGUGAACCAUCGAGUCUUUGAACGCAAGUUGCGCCCGAAGCCAUUAGGCCGAGGGCACGCCUGCCUGGGCGUCACACGUCGUUGCCCCCCCAUCUACUCCUUCGGGAUUGCGGGGGGCGGAUGAUGGCCUCCCGUGCGCCUCGUCGCGCGGUUGGCAUAAAUGCCAAGUCCUCGGCGACGCACGCCACGACAAUCGGUGGUUGCGAAACCUCGGUUGCCCGUCGUGUGCGGUCGUCGCGCAUCGAGGGCUCGAAAAAAUUGUCGGGCUCCGGCUCGGCUUUCAACGCGACCCCAGGUCAGGCGGGGUUACCCGCUGAAUUUAAGCAUAUCAAUAAGCGGAGGA